UUCGAAAGUGGAAUGAAAUAGUUUAUAGGUGAACUUUAUAGGUAACAUUGUAAAAGAAUUCGAUGCGGUGUUGAAACGUGAACUUACCUUGUCUCAUAGUCAAACCAUAAAGAAAAUGUAAUGCAUUUUCAUGAGUUGGCCAUGUGUAUUGCAAUAACUUCAUAAAAUACGGUGCAUGAACCACUUUGGCAAUUUUUAAUUGUUUUGUCUCUGUGAAUAGGUUUUAUUUUCGUAAGAUUUGUGAGACAUGCGAUGUUCUUGAGAUUCGUGAGACAUGCGCUUAUAUAAAAUGUAAUCACGAGUUGAUAUUAAGGUUGUUCUGGUACGAUGGUUUACUACUCGAUUUAAAUGGUUCAAAUAUAUAAUAAUGUAACCAAUUUUAUAGUUAGAGUUAAAACCGGAUACAUAUAUAGGGUGAAAUAUUUGUUACGUGAUGUUAUAAUAUAUAGGGGAAGACCAAAAAAAGAAUAAAAAAAAAAAAUUUAAACAACUUUCAUAGGUAGAUUUUUUAGGACUCCUUCCCUUUUAAUAGCAUUGAUUGAUCCAGUUAAAUCUAUUUAAUAAAUGGAGGUUUGGCUAAAAUAAA
This 586-nucleotide long non-coding RNA is filed under the name Brassica napus (rape). RNAcentral's name for it is "long non-coding RNA (BNAP_LNC019562)". The record is from RNAcentral. Lineage: Eukaryota; Viridiplantae; Streptophyta; Magnoliopsida; Brassicales; Brassicaceae.